This is a long non-coding RNA of Cryptotermes secundus, 332 nucleotides long. RefSeq lists it as uncharacterized. The record is from RefSeq and is a predicted model, not a curated record. The transcript has 3 exons. NCBI's taxonomy places the organism in Eukaryota, Metazoa, Arthropoda, Insecta, Blattodea, Kalotermitidae.
AAACACGCUCUUCUCUCGAGUCCGUCUAUCCACAGUGCAUCUUUAUAAAAGGAUUCAUUUUGUGGGUCGCUAGAGACGGCAGGACUCCUUGAACGGGUGAUCAGCCCGUCGAAAGGCCGGUACCUACACAGAGGAUAACACAGGCAUCAAUGCCUUGAGUGGGAUCCCAGAGUUCGAGCGUGCCAAGACACUUCCUGCAGUGCGUCCACCGUGACCGGCGUUUACAGAGGCGAUUGAAGAAGAAAUGGCAAAAAGAUUUCAUAGUGACUGAAAUGCAAGUUUCUGUGUUCAGAUCCGUUGCCAGGAGACGACUAGUGAAGACGGAGGAUCAU